This 402-nucleotide ribosomal RNA is filed under the name bacterium. Its description in RNAcentral is "partial 16S ribosomal RNA". It matches the Rfam family "Bacterial small subunit ribosomal RNA", at positions 355 to 776 of the family's 1533-position model. The record is from RNAcentral.
UGGGGAAUUUUGCACAAUGGGGGAAACCCUGAUGCAGCGACGCCGCGUGAUUUAGAAGGCCUUCGGGUUUUAAAAAUCUUUUCUAUGGGAAGAAAAUGACAGUACCAUAGGAAUAAGGACCGGCUAAUUACGUGCCAGCAGCCGCGGUAAUACGUAAGGUCCGAGCGUUGUCCGGAAUCAUUGGGCGUAAAGGGUACGUAGGCGGGUAAGCAAGUUAGAAGUGAAAUCCUAUAGCUCAACUAUAGUAAGCUUUUAAAACUGCUCAUCUUGAGGUAUGGAAGGGAAAGUGGAAUUCCUAGUGUAGCGGUGAAAUGCGCAGAUAUUAGGAGGAAUACCGGUGGCGAAGGCGACUUUCUGGCCAUAACCUGACGCUGAGGUACGAAAGCGUGGGUAGCAAACAGG